GGCGAACGGGUGAGUAACACGUGAGUAACCUGCCCUUAACUCUGGGAUAAGCCUGGGAAACUGGGUCUAAUACCGGAUAUGACUCCUCAUCGCAUGGUGGGGGGUGGAAAGCUUUUUGUGGUUUUGGAUGGACUCGCGGCCUAUCAGCUUGUUGGUGAGGUAAUGGCUCACCAAGGCGACGACGGGUAGCCGGCCUGAGAGGGUGACCGGCCACACUGGGACUGAGACACGGCCCAGACUCCUACGGGAGGCAGCAGUGGGGAAUAUUGCACAAUGGGCGCAAGCCUGAUGCAGCGACGCCGCGUGAGGGAUGACGGCCUUCGGGUUGUAAACCUCUUUCAGUAGGGAAGAAGCGAAAGUGACGGUACCUGCAGAAGAAGCGCCGGCUAACUACGUGCCAGCAGCCGCGGUAAUACGUAGGGCGCAAGCGUUAUCCGGAAUUAUUGGGCGUAAAGAGCUCGUAGGCGGUUUGUCGCGUCUGCCGUGAAAGUCCGGGGCUCAACUCCGGAUCUGCGGUGGGUACGGGCAGACUAGAGUGAUGUAGGGGAGACUGGAAUUCCUGGUGUAGCGGUGAAAUGCGCAGAUAUCAGGAGGAACACCGAUGGCGAAGGCAGGUCUCUGGGCAUUAACUGACGCUGAGGAGCGAAAGCAUGGGGAGCGAACAGGAUUAGAUACCCUGGUAGUCC
RNAcentral lists this ribosomal RNA (686 nucleotides) under uncultured bacterium. RNAcentral describes it as "bacterial SSU rRNA". It matches the Rfam family "Bacterial small subunit ribosomal RNA", at positions 97 to 796 of the family's 1533-position model. The record is from RNAcentral.